AUUGAACGCUGGCGGCAGGCCUAACACAUGCAAGUCGAGCGGAUGAAGGGAGCUUGCUCCUGGAUUCAGCGGCGGACGGGUGAGUAAUGCCUAGGAAUCUGCCUGGUAGUGGGGGAUAACGUCCGGAAACGGGCGCUAAUACCGCAUACGUCCUGAGGGAGAAAGUGGGGGAUCUUCGGACCUCACGCUAUCAGAUGAGCCUAGGUCGGAUUAGCUAGGUGGUGGGGUAACGGCCUACCAAGGCGACGAUCCGUAACUGGUCUGAGAGGAUGAUCAGUCACACUGGAACUGAGACACGGUCCAGACUCCUACGGGAGGCAGCAGUGGGGAAUAUUGGACGAUGGGCGAAAGCCUGAUCCAGCCAUGCCGCGUGUGUGAAGAAGGUCUUCGGAUUGUAGAGCACUUUAAGUUGGGAGGAAGGGCAGUAAGUUAAUACCUUGCUGUUUUGACGUUACCAACAGAAUAAGCACCGGCUAACUUCGUG
Molecule: ribosomal RNA, 484 nt
Filed under: uncultured bacterium
Lineage: Bacteria
Description: partial 16S ribosomal RNA
Rfam family: Bacterial small subunit ribosomal RNA
Source: RNAcentral